GCGGACGUGGUGGAAUUGGUAGACACACUGGAUUUAGGUUCCAGCGCCGCAAGGCGUGAGAGUUCGAGUCUCUCCGUUCGCACCA
This 85-nucleotide transfer RNA is filed under the name Pseudomonas aeruginosa. Its description in RNAcentral is "tRNA-Leu". It matches the Rfam family "tRNA". Rfam says of the family: Transfer RNA (tRNA) molecules are approximately 80 nucleotides in length. Their secondary structure includes four short double-helical elements and three loops (D, anti-codon, and T loops). The record is from RNAcentral. Lineage: Bacteria; Pseudomonadati; Pseudomonadota; Gammaproteobacteria; Pseudomonadales; Pseudomonadaceae.